UUCAAAAGGCAAAAACUGUGAGUGCUGCAGGGUUGCAUUCAUAGACAAGGCAACCUGCCAAAUCCAGGACAGACUCAUUAUCAGCGCCUCUCUUUCCAAGUAUAUCCAAGAGAGACCAUCUCUACUUCUCUGGUGACACAGGAGGGUCCUGAUCUAAAGCACUCUGCUCACCUGGGCAAAAGAGAUAUGACACUGCUCUUGGGAUCAACACCCAGGUUUUGUGGAAUAACGCUGACUUUCACGAACAGGAAUCCAGGAGUCAGAAUCCAGACCAGAUGUUGCAGCUGGACAAGCAUCAUUGCCUAAAUGACUUUUGAGAAUGAUCUCCAGGACCCAUCUUAGCCCCGGGAAAGUCUCAUAUAACAAGAAUGCCAGUUUUGGAUAUGAACUUAGUGGGACCAAUGCAAUGCGGAGAAUGACUUCCGAGAGGCAACACUGUGCAGUGAAAAGAUCGUUGCUGUUGUUCAAAAGAACACUGGCUGUGGAGGUGGAGGACCUGGUUUGAAUUCUACUUCUAAUGCUUAUUUGGGGCCACUCCAUGGUGAAG
Molecule: non-coding RNA, 547 nt
Organism: Phascolarctos cinereus (koala)
Lineage: Eukaryota; Metazoa; Chordata; Mammalia; Diprotodontia; Phascolarctidae
Source: RefSeq, a predicted model, not a curated record